GGUAUGUACGUGCAAUUCAAUGUACACAUACUGUAAAUGCGCUUCACAAUUCUGAUUGGCUCAGUGAUGUCCAAUGAGCCCUUAAGAUUUUGCAUAUAUGAUCAUGGCCAGAGGGGUGCUGUCAUCUCCUGUUCGCUUCUGACUAUGCUAUUGCAUUGGCAGGUCAAGUCCUGAUGACCCUGAUGUUGGGAGUUGUCAGCCUGAUGCACUAGAGGCUCAUGAGUUUCUUCUGAGUACCUUGCAGCAGCGCUGGAGGUGGACCGUGCUGCUGCUCUGGCAGACGCAGAGAGGUGCACGGCUGCAGGAGUGGGGGAGCCGACUGCUUUCCUCCGUGCGCACUGCUGCAGAAGAGGCCUGUGACCCCGGGCUUAUGAAACGAAGUCCUUUUGGCCCGAGAGAAAUCGCUCUGACAUUGGAAAGUUCUAUUUUUGAACAAGUUUUUGGUGCUCGGUGGGAAAUUAUCUUCCCUUUGUAUUCCUCGGAAAAUUGACGGUCACAGUGCAGCUCGGAAAAGAAGCGCUCUUCUUCACUUGGCAUUCAUGAGACAUUAACAACAUGACAAAAAACAUAUUUUAGAGAUUUUAGACAUGCCAAUCAAAGACAAUGAGGUACCCAUGCAUUCAGUGGAAUUACGUAGUUACUGAUUUAAGCAGAAUUUUAGGAGAGGACAGGUGUUGUUUGGUUAUUUUAAAGCGGUUCUGCACAUUUUUGGUAAAGCAGAGUGAAGGUACUAUUACCAAAGCCAAUCUAAUUUUUUUUUAUUUCACAAAAAAAUGUUAUUGCCGCAUGUUCCUCAAAUUCAAUGUUGUAUAACAUCAAAUAGAAAUGGCCGAUAUAACCUUUACAUAACAAUUAAGAGUGCUUGCCCUCGGCCAUGAGCAGGAAAUGCAGACCACUGGGCACUGAAUUCGGGUGUACCCUGCCCCAAAAUCCUCCUCACUUGAGUCAGGGUAGCAUGAAAUUUAGGUUACCCGACAGCGCCACCAGGUGGACUGUUUCCGCCGUUACACAUUCUAUUUUCAAAAUGGAAUUUUGCCGUAACAUUUAAAUGAAUGCUAUGAAUAUGUGUUGCAUAUCUGUUUUGAAACUACAC
Long non-coding RNA from Anguilla rostrata (American eel), 1093 nucleotides. RefSeq lists it as uncharacterized. NCBI's taxonomy places the organism in Eukaryota, Metazoa, Chordata, Actinopteri, Anguilliformes, Anguillidae. The record is from RefSeq and is a predicted model, not a curated record. The transcript is spliced from 2 exons.